Molecule: long non-coding RNA, 953 nt
Organism: Brachypodium distachyon (stiff brome)
Lineage: Eukaryota; Viridiplantae; Streptophyta; Magnoliopsida; Poales; Poaceae
Exons: 2
Source: RefSeq, a predicted model, not a curated record
GGGUCGGGGUGCCGAUGGGGGUGGCCGUUUGGGUCGGAGACGGGGCCGGAGGAGGCGGGGCUCGACGUCGCCGACAGCGGCUGGAGAAGGAAGAAGAAAGGAAAAACGGCUAUUCUAAGUGGGGCACCUGCCCCACUUGGUCUUGCGUUUCUCCUCCUGAUUGAUGCACAUGCGGCCCCAAAUCCCGAGCAGAGUGCGGCCGUGCGGCGUCCUCCUCCUUCCUGCACUUCCCUGCUGCCGCCUGCUCUCCUUAGGCGCUUAGGAGCCAGCGCCGCUCGACGUCGUCGACGGCACGGGCAUGCUAUGCAGAGCAGCGACGGCGCCGGAGCCGUCCCACCCGGACCCCCGCCAGGCAUCCCAAGGUCGAUGUAGCUGCUGGCGGUGACGUCCAGUGCUUGCUGCAUCUCCCUUUCAUGGCCUCCUCGACGGCCUCCGCCGGCACAUCGAAGUAGUAGCAGUGGCUCCGGCGCGCUGGCAUGCUGCAGCAGGUCCGCCGCGAACCGUGACCACGGGUGUUGUUUCUUCUGCAUCGGCGAGGUGGAGAGAAGGAGGAGGCGGUCCUGGCCGCUGCAGACGGCUACGGCGAGGGGCUGCUUGACCCAACCGAGUUCGCGAUGGCGAGGGGCUGCUUGACCUGGACAUGGCGACGGAGACGACAGCAACAUCGCACAUGGAUGUCACCGCGGCUCACUCCCUCGACAUGCUCUCCUCCUCCUUCCCGCCCUACGCCGCCGCGUUCCGGUGAGACAUGACUUCCCUGCUGCCUGCGGGCCUUUCUGGUGAAGACGGGCUCCCUAUUCUCAGUGCACGCUAAGGUGUUCGAUGUUUGGUCGCACCCAUAGGAGCUUGCAUGUACCAUUGGUUGUUUCUGCCAUCGUCAGAUUAUGUAUCCUUCGUUGCAAGCUGUAGCAGGAAUGAAUGGAGUUGGAAAGAUGAUUUUGUUUUGUACCGUC